CGUCAGACAACCCUGGUAUUUUUAGGGGUUUAGUGGAUUUUGUUGCCUCACUAGACAAUGUACUAGAGGAGCACCUUAAGACAGCUACCGUUUUUAAGGGCACAUCGAAGACGGUACAAAAUGAACUGUUGGACUCCAUGCUAUCAGUAAUAAAGGAUUACAUUCUAGAGGAAGUAACUGCGGCUGAUUUUAUCGCCAUUCUAGCUGACGAGACGACUGACGUCUCCACCCGCUGUCAGAUGGUGCUUGGGCUACGUUACAUGGAUUCUAAUAAUAAUAUCCAAGAGCGUUUUUUUGAGUUCUUGACCAUUUAGAACGCAAACGCCGAGUCCAUCGCUACAGCACUUCUGGACAGGCUAAGUACCAUACUACCAAAUGGACAAAAAAAAACAAAGUAAUUGCCCAAACUUAUGACGGGGCUACUGUAAUGAGAGGAAGCACCGGCGGAGUGCAGCGAAAGAUAAUAGAUGUGUACAAAAAUGCUCACUACGUUCACUGUUAUGCGCAUCAGCUGAACCUCAUCAUACAGCAGGCGACGUCACACAUCCCCAGAAUUGGAACUUUUUUUUCUGACCUUGGUGGAUUUUCUGCCUUCUUCUCCAGGUCACAUAAGCGAAUCGCCGUGCUUGACCAAGUGGUUGCGCACAGACUUCCCAGAGCCUCUACAACACGUUGGAACUUUCAAAGUCGCGCUGUAAACACUGUGUACGAACACAAGGAUGACCUUUUAAAAUGUUUUCAGAUCAUCAGAGACUCAGGGAACUUUGAUAACUCAACUGUCAGAGAGGCAGGGUGUUUUGUGAGGAUGCUCGAAGACGAGGCUUUCUGUUUUUUCCUUGCAUUGUUUCACAAGAUCAUGCCAAAUGUAGACAUGCUAUUCAACCAGCUGCAGAAGAGGAACAUCGACCCUGUCUACAUUAAAGCAGCUGUCCAGGGAUUCACAAACAACAUGCAAGCAAUCAGGUAAAUGUCCUUGUUUACUAUUGUCUGAUAAAGCUGCUGUUGUUAGAAAGAUUCGUUGUUAAUUUUUAUCUUUAUUUUUUUUGGACCAGGGACUCAAUCCCCUUUCUCUGUGGGGACAGUGCAUCAUCUGACCAGCAGCACCAGCACAAAAAGCGACAGAGGACCCUGGGACCAGGAGAACAACAGAGGCUAGCUACAGAGGUAUGUGAUACCAUCCUGAUUCAUACCAAGGAGCGGUUCUCCUUUACCCAGCACCUCGUCAGUGCAACAUUGCUGCAUGGAGAAUUGUUUCCACAACACAGUGUGACGUUUCCUGAAUCAGCACUUGAAACAACAGUGGAGGCAUACCCCAUGCUGAACAAGGCCAAGCUCAAAACAGAACUGUCCCUCAUCUAUGAGAACCCUGAGUUUAGGGUUGGCAGUGGUGCCGUGCCUCUGAAGAUUGUUCUCAAUGAAAAACUGGUACAAAGUACUUUCACAGAGACUGUCAGUCUUCUCAAGAUCAUAAUCACCACGCCUAUGACAACAGCAGAGUCAGAGAGGUGCUUUUGUACUUUGAAGAGGAUCAAGACUUUCCUAAGAAAUACAAUGACCCAGGAUCGCCUUAAUGCUUUGGCAAUGCUUUCGAUUGAGAAGAAACUCGUCAGAGACAUUCCUGACUUCAAUAAGAAAGUCAUUGAGAAAUUUGUCAAUCAGAAGGAGAGGAGAGCAAAAUUCCUGUACAAAUAAGUAAAUGCAGGUUUUUUCACCACAUUGAUUUUCUUGUACAUGGUUAUCCUCAGAGUCAUGGAAGUAUCCAGAAUUUAACUGCGAUUUGUAAAUUAACUGUUCUGAGAUGCUUUAACUAAUAAACAUGUGACCAGAUGUUCUUAAACUGUGUCUGCAUUUCAAUAAAUCAUAUUGCAGCGCUUGCUGAAAUUGUUUGCUAUGCCAGUGUGCCACAGCCCCACUUAAGAAAAUUUUCACCAGCCGCCACUGCAUCCAACAUAAUACACAUACGAUUUUUUUCUCCACUGUUUACUUUCACUUAAGACAUAACCAAUAUUUUUUUUUCGAACAUACUUUCUAAGAUGGAUAUUUUGACAUAUGCUGUAUGUAUUUGUCAGUACAAGAGCAAAAAGAAGCAAAUUCGGUGUUCAAGCGUUUUGAGAAGCCUCUCUCUGCGUGAGCCCUGAACACCAGAACACCGCGGGUGCUGAAUUGGGCUCUUUCACAUCCUUUUCUGUUUAUUUAAACUGCGAUUUGUAUUUGUUCGUUCAGGUGCAGGAGGAAGUUCGAGGAGAACUUCACAAUGGAUAGCUCGGUUCAAUGUUGCUGUCUGUGAGACGCGGCUCUCCGCGUGCGCACUGAACACAGCGCGCGAGUAGCCUACUCAUUUGAGCUUUACCGCGUCUUGUGUUUGAAUGCUUUAAACUCUUUUAAAUGUUUAAAUUGGCUAGGUUUUAAAACACGUGAAAAUGAUAAGCUUUCGUGACGACGCGCAGCAGUGGCCUGUCAACUUUCCUGAGCGUCCAGAUGGUUGAGAUCGCCGGGGGCCCCCCAAUCAGCCGCGGGCCCCUAUAAUCGUCACCACCUUUCACCCCACUAGCGACGGCCCUGGAUGUAAUCAGCCAUCAGUAGUUUAGCAAUCAAUUCUGAAAAUAUGUAAAUGUAAAAAUAUAGCCCAGAAAAUAUUAAGGUAACUUAUUCAUGUAAUUAUGAUUUCUCUUGACUGUAUAGUUAAUCUGCAUGUUCAUUCAUACAAACCUAUGUAAUAUUUAAGUGAUAAUUUAAUUUUUUUCAUUUUUCUCCCUUUUCCAUUCUCAGAUAUUAAACCAUAUACCAUAUAUUAAAUAAUUUUUCAACUUUAGUUUUAAGCCAUUAACAUAAUGUCUUCUCUCUUUUGAGUAUUGAUUGCCAUCUAGUCCUGAUUACAGAGUUAAGCUCCAGCCCCAGUAAUGUACUGCUGAAGCAGCUGAUCAAGGUCUUCAGGAUCAUCACAAACUUCAGACAGGUGUGUGGACAGGCUGGAGAUAAACUCUGCAGGAGUCUGGACCUCCAUGACACAACUGUUUUUGUGUCAGAUGCAGAUAAAGAGUCACCAGGAACAGGUGACUCUAUCUUUUGUCAUGUA
RNA transcript from Cyprinus carpio (common carp), 3076 nucleotides. It is a transcript of the gene named zinc finger MYM-type protein 1-like, with no coding region annotated. NCBI's taxonomy places the organism in Eukaryota, Metazoa, Chordata, Actinopteri, Cypriniformes, Cyprinidae. The record is from RefSeq and is a predicted model, not a curated record.